GGGGAAUAUUGCACAAUGGGCGAAAGCCUGAUGCAGCGACGCCGCGUGAGGGAUGAAGGCCUUCGGGUUGUAAACCUCUUUCAGUAGGGAAGAAGCGUAAGUGACGGUACCUGCAGAAAAAGCACCGGCUAACUGCGUGCCAGCAGCCGCGGUAAUACGUAGGGUGCAAGCGUUGUCCGGAAUUAUUGGGCGUAAAGAGCUCGUAGGCGGCUUGUCGCGUCUGCUGUGAAAACCCGGAGCUCAACUCCGGGCCUGCAGUGGGUACGGGCAGGCUAGAGUGCGGUAGGGGAGAUUGGAAUUCCUGGUGUAGCGGUGGAAUGCGCAGAUAUCAGGAGGAACACCGAUGGCGAAGGCAGAUCUCUGGGCCGCUACUGACGCUGAGGAGCGAAAGCAUGGGGAGCGAAC
Molecule: ribosomal RNA, 405 nt
Filed under: uncultured bacterium
Lineage: Bacteria
Description: bacterial SSU rRNA
Rfam family: Bacterial small subunit ribosomal RNA
Source: RNAcentral